This 267-nucleotide unclassified non-coding RNA is filed under the name uncultured Dioszegia. Its description in RNAcentral is "sequence contains ITS1". The stretch from base 1 to 105 matches the Rfam family "5.8S ribosomal RNA", at positions 50 to 154 of the family's 154-position model. The record is from RNAcentral. Lineage: Eukaryota; Fungi; Basidiomycota; Tremellomycetes; Tremellales; Bulleribasidiaceae.
GAAAUGCGAUAAGUAAUGUGAAUUGCAGAAUUCAGUGAAUCAUCGAAUCUUUGAACGCAAAUUGCGCCCUUUGGUAUUCCGAAGGGCAUGCCUGUUUGAGUGUCUUAUAAACCUCACCUUACUGUUUGUUCAGUAACGGUGCUUUGGGUGCUGCCAUUGGCUCGCCUUAAAUGCCUAAGUGGAAUGCGUAAUAAGUUUUCGCAAGUCUCCACUCUAAUACACUUAUACUCUGACCUCAAAUCAGGUAGGACUACCCGCUGAACUUAA